Molecule: long non-coding RNA, 455 nt
Organism: Canis lupus familiaris (dog)
Lineage: Eukaryota; Metazoa; Chordata; Mammalia; Carnivora; Canidae
Exons: 2
Source: RefSeq, a predicted model, not a curated record
AAUGCACGGAGGACAGCCUGUGGCAUGGCUCUGGACAUGGAUCCAGGGAUAUCUGGGCAUGAGAUUUCCAGUUCCCAGGACCUGCAGUAUGGUCCAGAAGUGGGACAUUUCUCCUUAGUCUUGCAGACUCUUUGCCCCAUGGGGAAGGACAUGGCCCAGACAGUACCCCUCUUGCCUCUCUGAGAAGGCUGCUGCUCAUGCGUUGACCAAAGAGCAGGGCUGCAGCUAGGCUGUCCAGGGAAAGCAUCAGUUUGAUUUGUUUUGAUCUUUGCUACUCAAAAGGAUCACAUGAGGCAGACGUCCCUCCUGACUGAACUGAUGGAUUGACUGACUCUGUAAACAUCACCAGAUGCCCCCAGCUUCCCAACGGUCACAUCUGCUACAUGACAUGUCCGCUCUCAAUGGUUGAGGGUUGAGUUGAAUGCUUAACAAGGACUCACUGCAUUUGUUCCCAA